GGCCCAGUGGGCAAACUGGUAGAGCCGCUCGCCUCAAAACCGAGAGAAGUUGCCGGUUCGACUCCGGCCUGGGCCA
Molecule: transfer RNA, 76 nt
Filed under: Deltaproteobacteria bacterium
Lineage: Bacteria; Pseudomonadati; Myxococcota; Myxococcia
Also listed under: 1 other name
Description: tRNA-Leu
Rfam family: tRNA
About the family: Transfer RNA (tRNA) molecules are approximately 80 nucleotides in length. Their secondary structure includes four short double-helical elements and three loops (D, anti-codon, and T loops). Further hydrogen bonds mediate the characteristic L-shaped molecular structure. tRNAs have two regions of fundamental functional importance: the anti-codon, which is responsible for specific mRNA codon recognition, and the 3' end, to which the tRNAs corresponding amino acid is attached (by aminoacyl-tRNA synthetases). tRNAs cope with the degeneracy of the genetic code in two manners: having more than one tRNA (with a specific anti-codon) for a particular amino acid; and 'wobble' base-pairing, i.e. permitting non-standard base-pairing at the 3rd anti-codon position.
Source: RNAcentral